Molecule: ribosomal RNA, 253 nt
Filed under: uncultured bacterium
Lineage: Bacteria
Description: partial 16S ribosomal RNA
Rfam family: Bacterial small subunit ribosomal RNA
Source: RNAcentral
GACGUAGGGCGCGAGCGUUGUCCGGAUUUAUUGGGCGUAAAGAGCUCGUAGGCGGCUUGUCGCGUCGACUGUGAAAACCCGCGGCUCAACUGCGGGCCUGCAGCCGAUACGGGCAGGCUAGAGUUCGGUAGGGGAGACUGGAAUUCCUGGUGUAGCGGUGAAAUGCGUAGAUAUCUGGAGGAAUACCGGUGGCGAAGGCGGCAUCCUGGACCGAGAUUGACGCUGAGGAGCGAAAGCUAGGGGAGCAAACGGG